CAGUCGCCGCGGGAAUACGAAGGGGGCUAGCGUUGCUCGGAAUGACUGGGCGUAAAGGGCGCGUAGGCGGUUUAUACAGUCAGAUGUGAAAUUCCUGGGCUCAACCUGGGGACUGCAUUUGAUACGUAUGGACUUGAGUGGAGAAGAGGGUCGUGGAAUUUCCAGUGUAGAGGUGAAAUUCGUAGAUAUUGGAAAGAACACCGGUGGCGAAGGCGGCGACCUGGUCUUUAACUGACGCUGAGGCGCGAAAGCGUGGGGAGCAAACAGGAUUAGAUACCCCCGUAGUCCCUGUCUCUUAUAC
Molecule: ribosomal RNA, 301 nt
Filed under: uncultured bacterium
Lineage: Bacteria
Description: partial 16S ribosomal RNA
Rfam family: Bacterial small subunit ribosomal RNA
Source: RNAcentral